This 437-nucleotide long non-coding RNA is filed under the name Physcomitrium patens. RNAcentral describes it as "long non-coding RNA (PPAT_LNC010489)". The record is from RNAcentral. Lineage: Eukaryota; Viridiplantae; Streptophyta; Bryopsida; Funariales; Funariaceae.
AAACAUUGACUUUGAGCAACGAUGGUAAAGUCCUCCUAAAUUCUAUGAAAUCCAAUUCUACACCUUUCAAAGAAGCUUGAAGCUAGCUCUCCAAUUCCAAAAUCUUGAUCACCCGAAUGCCUCCUUCCUUUUUCUUUCCUUUCUUUUAAUUCUAUGACGUCCCCUAUUCUUUUGCCUUAGACUCCGAAUUGGAAUAGCAGACCUGUUUCCAUAGAUAUUCCGCCUCUAAGAGGAUCUUUUCACAAAAAGGACGUUUUUUAAAAAUGGCAUAGAGAACAUAACAGCUUGAAAUAGAACCGAAGCCUCCAUAUUCGAGACCUCAUUGGAUUGUCCAACCUAGUCAGGUCUCAUACUGACUAAGAAGCCCAUUACAGAAUCUGGAUUUGAUGUCCCCGUAAUUAGGUCAAAUUGGUCCUUCGCAUCAGGUUCACCCAAUU